RNAcentral lists this ribosomal RNA (465 nucleotides) under Vreelandella stevensii. Its description in RNAcentral is "partial 16S ribosomal RNA". It matches the Rfam family "Bacterial small subunit ribosomal RNA", at positions 338 to 795 of the family's 1533-position model. The record is from RNAcentral. Lineage: Bacteria; Pseudomonadati; Pseudomonadota; Gammaproteobacteria; Oceanospirillales; Halomonadaceae.
CCUACGGGGGGCAGCAGUGGGGAAUAUUGGACAAUGGGGGGAACCCUGAUCCAGCCAUGCCGCGUGUGUGAAGAAGGCCCUCGGGUUGUAAAGCACUUUCAGUGAGGAAGAACGCCUGGUGGUUAAUACCCAUCAGGAAAGACAUCACUCACAGAAGAAGCACCGGCUAACUCCGUGCCAGCAGCCGCGGUAAUACGGAGGGUGCGAGCGUUAAUCGGAAUUACUGGGCGUAAAGCGCGCGUAGGUGGCUUGAUAAGCCGGUUGUGAAAGCCCCGGGCUCAACCUGGGAACGGCAUCCGGAGCUGUCCAGCUAGAGUGCAGGAGAGGAAGGUAGAAUUCCCGGUGUAGCGGUGAAAUGCGUAGAGAUCGGGAGGAAUACCAGUGGCGAAGGCGGCCUUCUGGACUGACACUGACACUGAGGUGCGAAAGCGUGGGUAGCAAACAGGAUUAGAUACCCGUGUAGUC